GCCCAGAUUAAAGCUCAGUUGUUAGAGCAUAAGACUCUUGAUUUCAGGGUUGUGGGUUCGAGCUUCACGUUGGGCA
This is a non-coding RNA of Podarcis lilfordi (Lilford's wall lizard), 76 nucleotides long. NCBI's taxonomy places the organism in Eukaryota, Metazoa, Chordata, Lepidosauria, Squamata, Lacertidae. The record is from the annotation of a GenBank genome assembly.